UACGUAGGGUCCGAGCGUUAAUCGGAAUUACUGGGCGUAAAGCGUGCGCAGGCGGUUUUGUAAGCCAGAUGUGAAAUCCCCGGGCUUAACUUGGGAACUGCAUUUGGGACUGCAAGGCUGGAGUACGGCAGAGGGAGGUGGAAUUUCCUGUGUAGCGGUGAAAUGCGUAGAUAUAGGAAGGAACACCGGUGGCGAAGGCGGGUCUCUGGGCCGAUACUGACGCUGAGGAGCGAAAGCGUGGGGAGCGAACAGG
This 253-nucleotide ribosomal RNA is filed under the name uncultured bacterium. RNAcentral's name for it is "partial 16S ribosomal RNA". It matches the Rfam family "Bacterial small subunit ribosomal RNA", at positions 524 to 776 of the family's 1533-position model. The record is from RNAcentral.